AUAAUCUUUGGUCUUUAUUUUCGUUCUUAUGGUUGAUCUUAUUUACAUGUACCUUCGCAAAUCUUAACUCUAUUUGGGUUAGUUGCAGUUGAUAUCCCUGUAACCAAAGAAGGUUUAAGGUUUAACCAAAGACGGUUCUCAGGCCAAACACCACUGUAGAUAAAACGCUUGCAGCAAGGAGCUACAAUUAUAGAGAUGAACGACAUUUGCAUUGAGGUACAUGAAUUCAUUUACAAAGGCUACUCCAUUGUUUAAUAUGCUGACAAUCAGCUAGACUUCAGAACUGCCUGUCGUGAUCUCAGUACAAGAUGGCUGAGAUGGGUUAGGUCAGGUUUUACUUGGCACGCAAGAUUGAAGGUGAUAUGAAUGAUGUGGCCACAAGUCUUAACUUGAUAUUGGCUUACUCUCUAGAGAAUGUGUUUUGAUUUAUGUGGCCAUUCAAUUUCCCCUGAGAUAAGAUAAGAUAAACUAGGUCGAUGAUAGGUGAUAACAUUUCUUUCAUGUGAUAGGAUUGCAAUUUCUUUAUUAUUUUUCUUCAUUUCUUAUAUUAUAAAGGCAACAGGAUUCAUGUACUGUUCUUUCCACACAAAAUACAAAAUGAAUACAUUGAAUCAUUGAUAACAUGUGAUUUGAAGGAAAUUUCACUUUUUAUGCACUGGAAAUCAAUUGAGCUAAUGAGUUGAGGCAGCAUUAUAGGAACAUUGUUGGAUUCGACCGUGUUUGAACUUAUAACCUAAAGACAAUUCAUUACAUAAAUAGCAUAAAAAUAAUUAAACUUUGAAGACGCUGUGCCAUAUCAUGUAUAAAUGGCUUUGACCUUUAAUUUUCUCAUGCCACUACAAAAGCACUUGAUGAACCAGUGAAAUGCCGAAUUGAUCCCAUAAGCCCUUUUGAAGCACCGAAAUGUCUUAUUCUGUAUACUCCCG
Long non-coding RNA from Gossypium arboreum, 926 nucleotides. RefSeq lists it as uncharacterized. The record is from RefSeq and is a predicted model, not a curated record. The transcript is spliced from 2 exons. NCBI's taxonomy places the organism in Eukaryota, Viridiplantae, Streptophyta, Magnoliopsida, Malvales, Malvaceae.